Molecule: ribosomal RNA, 485 nt
Filed under: Rahnella sp.
Lineage: Bacteria; Pseudomonadati; Pseudomonadota; Gammaproteobacteria; Enterobacterales; Yersiniaceae
Description: bacterial SSU rRNA
Rfam family: Bacterial small subunit ribosomal RNA
Source: RNAcentral
CUUCCGGAGCUAACGCGUUAAGUCGACCGCCUGGGGAGUACGGCCGCAAGGUUAAAACUCAAAUGAAUUGACGGGGGCCCGCACAAAGCAUGUGGUUUAAUUCGAUGCAACGCGAAGAACCUUACCUACUCUUGACAUCCACGGAACUUGCCAGAGAUGGCUUGGUGCCUUCGGGAACCGUGAGACAGGUGCUGCAUGGCUGUCGUCAGCUCGUGUUGUGAAAUGUUGGGUUAAGUCCCGCAACGAGCGCAACCCUUAUCCUUUGUUGCCAGCACGUGAUGGUGGGAACUCAAAGGAGACUGCCGGUGAUAAACCGGAGGAAGGUGGGGAUGACGUCAAGUCAUCAUGGCCCUUACGAGUAGGGCUACACACGUGCUACAAUGGCGUAUACAAAGAGAAGCAAACUCGCGAGAGCCAGCGGACCUCAUAAAGUACGUGGUCCGGAUUGGAGUCUGCAACUCGACUCCAUGAGUCGGACGCUAUAA